This 446-nucleotide ribosomal RNA is filed under the name uncultured marine eukaryote. RNAcentral's name for it is "bacterial SSU rRNA". It matches the Rfam family "Eukaryotic small subunit ribosomal RNA", at positions 610 to 912 of the family's 1831-position model. The record is from RNAcentral.
UGCUGCUGCUGUUAAAAAGCUCGUAGUUGGAUCAAGGGUCGGACAGUGCAAGGUGGCCCCAUUUGCGUGCGUGGCUCCGGUUACAAUCGCGGUGGCGGAUCAACCCCUUGCGCCAAACUGUCCGCUCUAACAGGCCGAAACGGUUCCCUGUGAGUAGGACCCUUCACGGGGUUCGAAAGCGCCUACGCAUCCACCAUAUGCAUACGGGACGUCGGCCAAUGUUACUGUGAACAAACCAGCGUGUCCAAAGCAGGCCUCCGCCUGAAUGUUCGAGCAUGGAAUAACAAGGGAUCGAUUCUCUCGAUUCUUUUUGUUGGUUUUUAACCCGAGAAGGAGUAAUUCAGGUCACGGUGUCUGAGUUGGGUUCCCCUACUCUUCGGGGUAGGCCCCAAUUAGGCCGUGGCCUUACGGGAUCCAUAGGGACUGACGGGGCCGUACGUACUUCC